This 429-nucleotide ribosomal RNA is filed under the name uncultured Candidatus Cenarchaeales thaumarchaeote. Its description in RNAcentral is "bacterial SSU rRNA". It matches the Rfam family "Archaeal small subunit ribosomal RNA", at positions 52 to 486 of the family's 1478-position model. Lineage: Archaea; Thermoproteati; Nitrososphaerota; Candidatus Cenarchaeales. The record is from RNAcentral.
UGCGAGUCUUUGUAGCAAUACAAGGCAUACGGCUCAGUAACACGUAGUCAAUCUACCCUAUGGACGGGAAUAACCUCGGGAAACUGAGAAUAAUGCCCGAUAGAUCAUUUUGCCUGGAAUGGUUUAUGAUCCAAAUGAGCAAUCGCCAUAGGAUGGGACUGCGGCCUAUCAGUUUGUUGGUGGGGUAAUGGCCCACCAAGACUAUUACAGGUACGGGCUCUGAGAGGAGAAGCCCGGAGAUGGGUACUGAGACACGGACCCAGGCCCUAUGGGGCGCAGCAGGCGAGAAAACUUUGCAAUGUGCGAAAGCACGACAAGGUUAAUCCGAGUGAUUCCUGAUAAAGGAAUCUUUUGUCAGUCCUAAAAACACUGACGAAUAAGGGGUGGGCAAGUUCUGGUGUCAGCCGCCGCGGUAAGACCAGCACCUCA